Molecule: ribosomal RNA, 405 nt
Filed under: Eophreatoicus kudjaldordo
Lineage: Eukaryota; Metazoa; Arthropoda; Malacostraca; Isopoda; Amphisopidae
Description: partial 16S ribosomal RNA
Rfam family: Bacterial large subunit ribosomal RNA
Source: RNAcentral
AAGAGCCGCAGUACACUGACUGUGCAAAGGUAGCAAAAUAAUUUGUUUCUUAAAUAGAGACUAGAAUGAAUGGUCUGACGAGGAAAUAACUGUCUCCAAAUUUAAAUAAAAAUUAACAUACAAGUCAAAAGGCUUGUAUAUUUUAGCAAGACGACAAGACCCUAUAAAACUUAACCCUUUACUAAAACCCUAAGAGACAUUUUAUAGACCCCAAAGGGUUUAACUGGGGCGGUAUUCAUAUAAUAUGUAACUAUGCAACCAUUACCAUAUAUAAAUGAAUAAAUAAAUCUUAAUUUAAACAUAAAAAAAAGUUACUUUAGGGAUAACAGCAUAAUACUCUUUAAGAGACCUUAUCGACAAGAGUGAUUAUGACCUCGAUGUUGAAUUGGGAAACCCUCUAAAAGC